AGAUCAGAUAUGCUACUUCCUCCUACAAAACUGGUAUUGUAAGUAACAGAGAACUGAGCACAUCUAGAACAGAAAGCAUGAAUGUGGAUCAAACUCUUUCUCAUGCUAAGAUGUCUAACAUAUCAAAUUGUACUACUAUAGUUGAAACCUCAAUACAAGCUGAGCGUUGUAAACCUCAAUGCUUUUGGCCUUGGUACUAAGAGUACAAAAAUGGAGGAUGGCCCCACUGGUGCAGAAAGAUGCAGCUUAUUAAGUAAAGUUCCCAGUUGUAACACAUCCAACUCUGACAAGAUGAAAUGUCCCAAGGAGCAGCAGAUAUUUG
RNAcentral lists this long non-coding RNA (322 nucleotides) under Musa acuminata (dwarf banana). RNAcentral describes it as "long non-coding RNA (MACU_LNC001643)". The record is from RNAcentral. Lineage: Eukaryota; Viridiplantae; Streptophyta; Magnoliopsida; Zingiberales; Musaceae.